AUGCCCAUCAGUAUGGAAACAUAUGUAUGCAGAGCACUCAGGGCAGAGCCUGUGCACAGCAAAGGCUCAUUCAUACUGGUUAUUAGUAUUAUUACCAUCAUCAUCCUCUUUUUCUACCGGAUCACCCUUCCUGGGUUUUGUUAUACGUCAGUGUCUAUUCUCCCUCCUGAUGGUAACAGCAUCCCAACAGUGUUUUGGAGAAUCACUCCUCUGCUAUUAGAUGUACGAAGUAGUGGUACCUGUCUUCCUCUGGCUAACAGCUUAUCAGAAAAAUAAUCGAGUUGAGAGUAAUUGGGUUUACAUCAUGGAUUGAACUUUGGAAACUUCACUGACCACUUAAUUUAAACGUAAGUAGACAUACAGCAAACUACAGUUUCUGUAAAUAUUUGAUUAUAUAUGUGGUUUGGAUGUCACUUGCAACCCUUUCUUAUUGCAGCUCAAGGAAUUGGCAGGUAAAAGGAUGGGGUAUAAGACUGAAAAUAUUGGGGGAAACUUCUGCCAACUUUCUUGUCAGCGUCAGUCCUUGCCAAAUUGACGAUAAAGAGAAAUGUGUCCUCGGCACUUCCUAAAUAUUGGUGUCCUUUUCUCCUUUCAGAAUGAAUUCUUCCAGAUUCUUAUAGUCAGCUCAGUAGCAGAAGAGUUUUUUUCAGGAAAGUGUUGAUAUCAGUUGAUAUUAGUUUUUUUUACUUUGGUGUGAAUUUAUAUCUCUCAGAACUCCUGCGCUUUAACAGGAGUCCAGAAAUAAAAGAUCAUCAUUUAAUGAAGGAAAUUCAAGAAUAAAUGACUCUAUGAGGGAGACAUUUUGGACACAUGGGUCCAUUCCAAACAAAACAAGUGAGUUCUUUACACAUGCAUAAGAUUACCCUCCCCAGACCACUCAUUGAUGGGUAAUUGGUAUAAUGGGCUUAAUUUUCCUUCUGUUUGAAGUGAAGCCAACUCUUGGGAUCACCAAGACUAUUUAUAUCUUCUUUCAAGCGGUGUUUGAUGAGAGCUAUUCAAUGAAAAACAUUUCUGAGUUAGUAUAGAAUACAUGAUUUGUCAUAGAUUUAAGAAUAGGGUCAGAGAUGUGUUACCAGAAUGACUUCAAGGAAGAUAUGAUUGAUUGCAAUUAGAAAACAAACCACAUACCAAGCUCUCAAUCAUCAGAAAUCUCAUAGAAAAGGAAACUAUUCAUAGGACAUAAUUACAUAUGGGACUCACACACCUGUUCCAUUUAUAGAAUCCUUUGUCCUCUAAAGAAUGAUAGGAGUGAUAUAGAUAGUAUAUAUAUAUAUUUUUUUUUCCAGGUAGAAUAUAAUGGAAAAUAGUAGCAAUCUAGUUUGUCUGGACUUCUCAUCAAAUGAUUCUGUACAAAGCAGUUCUAAUGUUAUUCAGUUGCACAGAAACUCUCUUGUGCUACUUCAUAUACUAAGAAGCUGUAUGCCUUAUUAAUUUGUAUCCUCAGUGCCAUGCAGACUGCCCAGAACUUAGGUGAUCCCCUAAUGUCUCUUGAAGGCUGAAUGAAAGUAUGAAUGUUGAAAAGAGUCAACCAAAAUGUGUAUAAAUAGUAAGAAAAUUAACAUGAGGAAAAAAGAAAAGAAGGGGACUAAGGUAAUAAAACAAAUUAUACCUACCUUAAAAUCUAAUCUAUCUACAUGAUUAUCUGAAGUCUUUGAGGUGGAAAAUCUCAAAGUUCUCAAAUAUAUCAGUGUCUUAGGAUGAAUUCUGUGUGAGGAUUAUUCACGAGUAAUUAGAUUUUCAGUAGUCUCCUUUUUUUUUUCUCUUAUAUAUACAGUUUAUUAACUUCUCUCAAGCAGAGAACCAUCAAGUAUGCAAUUUUCACUUUGAGUUUUCUUAGUGUGGUGCUGACGUUGUAGGACAAAUCCACAGACAUAGAAACUAACACAGUUUCUACUUUGGGAUGCCUACACUAUUUGGAAAAACAGGAGCAACACAGGUAAGAGUAGAAAACACCAGAAGGAAAAGGGUAUACGAUGGAGAAGGGCAUUUUUGGAUAGCCUUACCUUCUGUUUCCAAUGGCCUUUCUGGAAAGUCAGAUCCCUGGCAACACUAAUCGAAUUUGAGGUGUUAGAACUCAUUAGGGUGGUAGGGUUGUGGGACCAGAAGCCACGCUGACUUGACUUGCCACACUGGCUGUCACACUUAAAUUCUCUGGUGAAGUUACCUCUCCUUUGUCAUUAUAGUAUUUUAUACCUGUUUUUAUUUGAGGUUCAUAAUAAGAGACUGUCACCAAAGGGACACUUGGCUUUAUCACAUUAAGAAGGCACACACCGGCAAAGAUGACUGUGAGACUACAGUUUUCUUCUGUACCAGCAAAAUCAGGGCCAUUGAAAUAGAUAACCUGUCAAGAUACAGUGUGACAAAUAGAUGCAAUAAGUAAUAUGUAAGUUGCUUUCCUCCUUACUGAUAGGGUUUCCUAAAUCUCCUUUAGUUUGGAUCCAUUAUCCUCUCUCUUUCUCUUUCUCUCUCCAACAUUUAUAUUAUAUAAAAUUUCAUAGAAAAUGUUGUUUUCUAAAUUUGUGUUCUAAAUGUAAAUCGCUUUAGAGCCAAUCGAACCUCCUAAUCAUUUGCUAUGAAAUAACUUUUUAUAUCUUAUUUUAUGAAUUUUUAUACCAUUUUCCUGAGGUUUUUAUUUAACUAAGUAGUAGGAAUACCAAAGUGCUGAGUGAAUAAUAUAUAACUGAAACACUGUGCCAAAUAUCUGAAUAAACACAAAAUAAGCCCUGAGUAUUAUAACAAAUAGGUACAAGUUGCCCCCAGUUAGAUUCUUCCUUUCUGUUGCACAGUCUCCUCAGCCUUGUAAAGCUCCAGCUAUUAAACUAAUGGUUUGAACCCUGGAACUUCAGGAUCCUGUGACACACAUUUUGGAGAGGUCCUUGACAGUUAACAGAAUUGUAAAUUUCUGAGAGAUUAUUUGUCACAUGAUCAGAGUCAACAUUCUAUACCAGCUGCUAGAUUUAGCUUCUUCUACUUUAAGAGAGUGGACCUGCAAGUGUUAUCUUCUGGAUAUUUAGCCGGGAAUUAUUUCUGUAUCAGUCAGAAAACCAGCAUGUGUUUCUUAACCACCGACUCUUCCUUCUCUCACCUGCAUCUUCAUUUGGUGUGACGGUGGAAGCCACAGAAGAGCUUGUCAGCUUCCUGUUGGUUAUAACCUUGCCAUGUUGUUCAGCUAAGACCUAGAUAAUGACAUAAUCUCAGAACAAUUAAUAGAAAACCAACUGGCACUUACUGUGUUUGCACUUGGUAUUCAAGGGAGAAAAUGAUUGACAAUUGGCGAGUCAAGACUGUGUGGAGAGCCUUGGAUCUAAGCUGUACCUUGAAGGGGCCUCAGAAUUUUGAGAGGCAGAAGGAAGCAGUCAUGAUAUGUGAGGAGAUCAUCAGUGGGAGCGUAACUGGCAAUGAGCAGAAGGCAUAGGGAAGCAGGCUGAAGAAUGUGCUAACUGGAGGAAAAUUGCCUGGAGAUGGUGGAAAAUCAUUGCAGUUGGCAGGGUGGUGUCUGAUUAUGGAGCAUUGGAGUCCAGGUUGGAGAACUCAGGAUUGAUGGGGCAGUGGAGAGGAGACACUAAAGAUUAUAAGUAGAGAGGUAACAUGAUAGAAGUUGUGUGAGAAGAAACCCAGAGUGGCAGAUGGGACAGUGGCUAGAAAUCAAAUAUAAAGCACUGUUAACAGCCAAGGUUCUGUGUGUAAUAAAUAACCAAUACGCCACGCUGUGCACCAACCUUGUCCUUUGGUUUCACGAUGAUUUAUUUGUUAUACCACCACCCUCAUUAUCUAAAACAGAACACUACAAUUUCAUAUACCAUCUGUGAGCUCCAAAUGGUCAUAAUUAACAAUCACAAAUGUUCUGAAAAGGUGAUGUGCUAAAAAUAGCCUUAUCCGGCUUGUCAGCAGGCUGCUUCUGUGAGUACCAUGACAUUCAAUGGAAGAAUGACUGUAUUUUCUUAUGCCUUCCCGUGAUUAUAUUUCUCAUACAGAUUAUGAAACUAUGGAAACAUGCUUCUCUAAUUAAACAUCUUGAGGUUUAAUAAUUUGACUACUGGUCAGUUAGGGGCAGAAACAUCAAGACUAUACCUAAAGUAAGUUUCUUUCAGAUGAGAUCUGCUACUGUAUUACCUAGAACGUGAUUAGCAUCUUCCAAAAUGCCUACUGAAUGUAGGAAAAAUGUCAGCCAUUCGCACUUGUUUGUGGCAAAUGUAAAGAGCUGUUGUAUUAUUUUGUCUCCAAAGAUUCCCAUUCUUCUUGAAUCCCAAGGAAAACUUAAUAGAGAGAUCAUAGUUUGGUGCUGAAGGAGAGUGACCCUGCCUCUAGAAUGUGCACUGGGAAUUUCUAGAGAAACUUGAUGGUCUCAGCAAAGUCAGGAUUGAGAAUUUGGAGUUUAAUUUUCACCACUGAAAAUGACCAGCUUUGUUAUGCAUAUUUAGACUGUCUAAACUGUUGCAGCUAACUAGAAAAGCAAUGAGCCAAAAAGUGUAUAGAAUUUCAUCAAAUUAAAGGUGCCACUGAUUAUAAGAUGCACCAUUAUCUUAUAUUCUACUUAGAAAGAUAAAACAUUUCAAAUUAAACUAUGGCUUCUUUCUGAUUAUUUCUUUUCUUUUUAUUUUGUCUUUUUUAAUUUUUAUUUUUUUAUAGAAUAAAGUACAUACAUUUACACACAAUUACAUUCACACAGAUUAUUAUAACAUGGAUCUUAAGAAACAGAUUAAGUGACUCCCACUGGAGAAGUGGAAUGGAAAAUAUGCUGAGACAAAUAGGAAAUUUAUUCUAUACUUUAUCCCAAUUUUA
Molecule: long non-coding RNA, 4782 nt
Filed under: Sus scrofa (pig)
Lineage: Eukaryota; Metazoa; Chordata; Mammalia; Artiodactyla; Suidae
Description: lncRNA (ENSSSCG00055022695.1)
Source: RNAcentral